This 70-nucleotide transfer RNA is filed under the name Hoplodactylus sp. Southern Forest. RNAcentral's name for it is "tRNA-Ala". The record is from RNAcentral. Lineage: Eukaryota; Metazoa; Chordata; Lepidosauria; Squamata; Diplodactylidae.
GGAGGCUUUAGCUUAAUUAAAGUGUCUGAGUUGCAUUCAGGAGAUGUACAUUAGGGUUGUACAAGUCUUC